ACAGGUGUAGCUCAAGGAGAGCACCCGGUUCUUAACCGGAAGGCGCGCACUGACGAGUGUUUAGGUUCGAUACCCGCCACCUGUA
This 85-nucleotide transfer RNA is filed under the name Achromobacter phage JWF. It matches the Rfam family "tRNA". Rfam says of the family: Transfer RNA (tRNA) molecules are approximately 80 nucleotides in length. Their secondary structure includes four short double-helical elements and three loops (D, anti-codon, and T loops). Lineage: Duplodnaviria; Heunggongvirae; Uroviricota; Caudoviricetes. The record is from Rfam by way of RNAcentral.